CCCGAAGCCGAGGGGGGUGGGCGCGCCCGGAGGCUCUCGUCCCCCGCCCCCCCACCAGGCUGUGGAGAAAGGAGGUGGUGAUACUGCCGACUUCCUGGGAGCCAUGCCUUCAACACACAUUUAUGGAGCGCCUACUGUGUUCCAGGCCCCGCUCCAGGACGUGGCGGGGGGAAGGGGUACAAAGUCCCGACCCUGGUGGAGAUGACAUGAGACGGCAAACACAUGAACCAAAUCCCUGGCAGGGGACUUGGGUUCGAGCCCUGGUCCGGGAAGAUCCCACAUGCCGCGGAGCAACUAAGCCUGUGAGCCACAACUACCGAGCCUGCGCUCUAGAGCCCACGAGCCACAACUACUGAAGCCUGCAUGCCUAGAGCCUGUGCUCCGCAACAAGAGAAGCCACCCGAUGAGAAGAGUAGCCCCCACUCGCCGCAACUAGAGAAAGCCCGCAGCAAUGA
Balaenoptera acutorostrata (minke whale) is the source of this 455-nucleotide long non-coding RNA. RefSeq lists it as uncharacterized. The transcript is spliced from 3 exons. The record is from RefSeq and is a predicted model, not a curated record. NCBI's taxonomy places the organism in Eukaryota, Metazoa, Chordata, Mammalia, Artiodactyla, Balaenopteridae.